CCUACGGGAGGCAGCAGUGGGGGAUAUUGCACAAUGGGGGGAACCCUGAUGCAGCGACGCCGCGUGUGGGAAGACGGUCCUCUGGAUUGUAAACCACUGUCGCCAGGGACGAAAAUGACGGGACCUGGGGAGGAAGCACCGGCAUACUACGUGCCAGCAGCCGCGGUAAUACGGAGGGAGCGAGCGUGGUCCGGAAUUACGGGGUGUAAAGGGAGCGGAGGGGGGGAUUCGAGAUGGGUGUCAAAACUACCGGCUCAACUGGUAGUCGCACUCAAAACUGCAGCUCUUGAGUGAAGUAGAGGCAGGCGGAAUUCCUAGUGUAGCGGUGAAAUGCGUAGAUAUUAGGAGGAACACCAGUGGCGAAGGCGGCCUGCUGGGCUUUUACUGACGCUGAGGCUCGAAAGUGUGGGGAGCAAACAGGAUUAGAUACCCCGGUAGUC
This 440-nucleotide ribosomal RNA is filed under the name uncultured bacterium. RNAcentral describes it as "partial 16S ribosomal RNA". It matches the Rfam family "Bacterial small subunit ribosomal RNA", at positions 338 to 795 of the family's 1533-position model. The record is from RNAcentral.